UACGAAGGGUGCAAGCGUUAAUCGGAAUUACUGGGCGUAAAGCGCGCGUAGGCGGUUUGGUAAGUGUGAUGUGAAAUCCCCGGGCUCAACCUAGGAACUGCAUCACAUACUGCCAGGCUAGAGUACGGUAGAGGGUGGUGGAAUUUCCUGUGUAGCGGUGAAAUGCGUAGAUAUAGGAAGGAACACCAGUGGCGAAGGCGACACCUGGACUGAUACUGACACUGAGGUGCGAAAGCGUGGGGAGCAAACAGGAUUAGAAACCCGGGUAGU
Molecule: ribosomal RNA, 270 nt
Filed under: uncultured bacterium
Lineage: Bacteria
Description: partial 16S ribosomal RNA
Rfam family: Bacterial small subunit ribosomal RNA
Source: RNAcentral